UACGGGGGGGGCAAGCGUUGUUCGGAAUUACUGGGCGUAAAGGGCUCGUAGGCGGCCAACUAAGUCAGACGUGAAAUCCCUCAGCUUAACUGGGGAACUGCGUCUGAUACUGGAUGGCUUGGAUUUGGGAGAGGGAUGCGGAAUUCCAGGUGUAGCGGUGAAAUGCGUAGAUAUCGAGAGGAACACCUGCGGCGAAGGCGGGUUGCUGGGCUGACACUGACGCUGAUGCGCGAAAGCCAGGGGAGCGAACGGG
RNAcentral lists this ribosomal RNA (253 nucleotides) under uncultured bacterium. Its description in RNAcentral is "partial 16S ribosomal RNA". It matches the Rfam family "Bacterial small subunit ribosomal RNA", at positions 524 to 776 of the family's 1533-position model. The record is from RNAcentral.